Molecule: ribosomal RNA, 253 nt
Filed under: uncultured bacterium
Lineage: Bacteria
Description: partial 16S ribosomal RNA
Rfam family: Bacterial small subunit ribosomal RNA
Source: RNAcentral
UACGUAGGGGGCUAGCGUUGUCCGGAAUCAUUGGGCGUAAAGAGCGUGUAGGCGGUCCGGUAAGUCCGCUGUGAAAGUCGGGGGCUCAACCCUCGAAUGCCGGUGGAUACUGUCGGGCUAGAGUACGGAAGAGGCGAGUGGAAUUCCUGGUGUGGCGGUGAAAUGCGCAGAUAUCAGGAGGAACACCUAUUGCGAAGGCAGCUCGCUGGGACGUAACUGACGCUGAGACGCGAAAGCGUGGGGAGCGAACAGG